GACGAACGCUGGCGGCGUGCCUAAUACAUGCCAGUAGAACGCACAGUUUAUACCGUAGCUUGCUACACCAUAAACUGUGAGUUGCGAACGGGUGAGUAACGCGUAGGUAACCUGCCUGGUAGCGGGGGAUAACUAUUGGAAACGAUAGCUAAUACCGCAUAAUAUUGAUUAUUGCAUGAUAAUUGAUUGAAAGAUGCUAUUGCAUCACUACCAGAUGGACCUGCGUUGUAUUAGCUAGUAGGUGAGGUAACGGCUCACCUAGGCGACGAUACAUAGCCGACCUGAGAGGGUGAUCGGCCACACUGGGACUGAGACACGGCCCAGACUCCUACGGGAGGCAGCAGUAGGGAAUCUUCGGCAAUGGACGAAAGUCUGACCGAGCAACGCCGCGUGAGUGAAGAAGGUUUUCGGAUCGUAAAGCUCUGUUGUAAGAGAAGAACGGGUGUGAGAGUGGAAAGUUCACACUGUGACGGUAUCUUACCAGAAAGGGACGGCUAACUACGU
This 504-nucleotide ribosomal RNA is filed under the name uncultured bacterium. RNAcentral's name for it is "partial 16S ribosomal RNA". It matches the Rfam family "Bacterial small subunit ribosomal RNA", at positions 28 to 506 of the family's 1533-position model. The record is from RNAcentral.